GGCGUGUAGCGCCUGGGCGUCCCAUGUGAAAGACACGGCUCAACCGUGGGGGAGCGUGGGAUACGCUCAGGCUAGACGGUGGGAGAGGGUGGUGGAAUUCCCGGAGUAGCGGUGAAAUGCGCAGAUACCGGGAGGAACGCCGAUGGCGAAGGCAGCCACCUGGUCCACCCGUGACGCUGAGGCGCGAAAGCGUGGGGAGCAAACCGGAUUAGAUACCCGGGUAGUCCACGCCCUAAACGAUGCGCGCUAGGUCUCUGGGUCUCCUGGGGGCCGAAGCUAACGCGUUAAGCGCGCCGCCUGGGGAGUACGGCCGCAAGGCUGAAACUCAAAGGAAUUGACGGGGGCCCGCACAAGCGGUGGAGCAUGUGGUUUAAUUCGAAGCAACGCGAAGAACCUUACCAGGCCUUGACAUGCUAGGGAACCCGGGUGAAAGCCUGGGGUGCCCCGCGAGGGGAGCCCUAGCACAGGUGCUGCAUGGCCGUCGUCAGCUCGUGCCGUGAGGUGUUGGGUUAAGUCCCGCAACGAGCGCAACCCCCGCCGUUAGUUGCCAGCGGGUGAGGCCGGGCACUCUAACGGGACUGCCCGCGAAAGCGGGAGGAAGGAGGGGACGACGUCUGGUCAGCAUGGCCCUUACGGCCUGGGCGACACACGUGCUACAAUGCCCACUACAAAGCGAUGCCACCCGGCAACGGGGAGCUAAUCGCAAAAAGGUGGGCCCAGUUCGGAUUGGGGUCUGCAACCCGACCCCAUGAAGCCGGAAUCGCUAGUAAUCGCGGAUCAGCCAUGCCGCGGUGAAUACGUUCCCGGGCCUUGUACACACCGCCCGUCACGCCAUGGGAGCGGGCUCUA
Molecule: ribosomal RNA, 849 nt
Filed under: uncultured bacterium
Lineage: Bacteria
Description: bacterial SSU rRNA
Rfam family: Bacterial small subunit ribosomal RNA
Source: RNAcentral